RNAcentral lists this non-coding RNA (157 nucleotides) under Anaerovibrio lipolyticus. Its description in RNAcentral is "GlcN6P sequence". It matches the Rfam family "glmS glucosamine-6-phosphate activated ribozyme aptamer". Rfam says of the family: This entry contains a glucosamine-6-phosphate activated ribozyme that is found in the mRNA for GlmS. GlmS is an enzyme that uses fructose-6-phosphate and glutamine to generate glucosamine-6-phosphate. The ribozyme catalyses self cleavage of the glmS mRNA that is thought to regulate GlmS activity. Lineage: Bacteria; Bacillati; Bacillota; Negativicutes; Selenomonadales; Selenomonadaceae. The record is from Rfam by way of RNAcentral.
CUGAUUGUUCUAGCGCAUGGCCUUGCUUUGGAAUAAAGCAAGGUGACGAGGAAGAGGUUGUCGAUUUAUCAGCGGAUGCCUCUCGGCUUGCCGGUCGUUAGAAUGCUGUUAAAACUGUUGGGUGACUGACAGGACAGAGCGGCAUUUGGGCAGGACA